GUGUCAGCAGCCGCGGUAAAACGUAGGACGCAAGCGUUAUCCGGAGUUACUGGGCGUAAAGGGCGUGUAGGCGGCCUGUCAAGUUCGUCGUGAAAGCCUCCGGCUCAACCGGGGAGGGUCGAGGGAGACUGACAGGCUGGAGGACGGUAGAGGGACAGGGAAUUCCGGGUGUAGUGGUGAAAUGCGUAGAGAUCCGGAGGAACACCAGUGGCGAAGGCGCUGUCCUGGGCCGUUGCUGACGCUGAAACGCGACAGCAUGGGGAGCGAACGGGAUUAGAUACCCCCGUAGUCC
Molecule: ribosomal RNA, 292 nt
Filed under: uncultured bacterium
Lineage: Bacteria
Description: partial 16S ribosomal RNA
Rfam family: Bacterial small subunit ribosomal RNA
Source: RNAcentral